CCGGUAUGUAGCACGGCCGCAGAUAUGAGAUAACGAAUGUGACUCCGAGACACGGUCUUAGAAGAUACGGUACGCGAUACGGUAAUUUUCGAUGUCUAUUGAGAUUUUCUGGCAAAACCGAACGGCGUUCACCGUCGGACACCAAAUACUGGAUAUCACUAUAGUUGAUUGGGCAGAUUUUUUUUUUUUUUUUUUUUGCUAGGCAUUUUACCUAUAUACCAUAUUUACUCCGUUAAUCUUAAUAAUGCAAAUAAUUUUUAUGAAUUCGUGAACUCGUAAACAGACGGUAUUUACGAAUAAAAUAACUAUUAUAGUUUGCCGAUCAAAUGGGCGAGUAGUCAAACCCGAGGGAUGCCAUUUUUAUUAAACCUCGAUACAUAUCGACGGUGUUUUGUUAAGUCUAUCAAAUUCAGAAGCAAAUAACAAACAGAAAAACAUUUUUUUUUUUUCUAAUGUUAUUUACUAUGGAAAACAAUAAAACUAUUCGUACACGUCAUAAUACUUUAGUAUACACGCACUGAACGUGGUAUAUUCGUCCUCUUAACAGAUCAGUGUUGAUUUAAUUAUAUUUCAAAGGGGCGCCCGGAUAUAUUUUAGUCGACGUUACCAACCUAAUUUUCCGUAUUUAAAUACGCCCUUUUACCAGUUUAUGUUCCUAAUUUUUCUGUUUUUUUUUUUUUUUUUUUCAUACCGAAAACGUAUGUUUCGGUUUUUAAUGGUAUACGCCCUUUUAACAAAAACCAUCGACACACGCAAGAUUUAUAAUUCCAAUCGAAUGCAGAAUAUCGUAUAUCGGUGUACGUUCUAGUCCAUAGAAUUAGAUUGAUAACUUUACUGAUU
This is a non-coding RNA of Cinara cedri, 840 nucleotides long. The record is from the annotation of a GenBank genome assembly. Lineage: Eukaryota; Metazoa; Arthropoda; Insecta; Hemiptera; Aphididae.